CCUACGGGUGGCAGCAGUGAGGAAUAUUGGUCAAUGGCCGGAAGGCUGAACCAGCCAAGCCGCGUGAAGGACGAAGGUGCCAAGCAUUGUAAACUUCUUUUAUAAAGGAAUAAAGUGAGGCACGUGUGCCUUUUUGUAUGUACUUUAUGAAUAAGGAUCGGCUAACUCCGUGCCAGCAGCCGCGGUAAUACGGAGGAUCCGAGCGUUAUCCGGAUUUAUUGGGUUUAAAGGGAGCGUAGAUGGGUUGUUAAGUCAGUUGUGAAAGUUUGCGGCUCAACCGUAAAAUUGCAAUUGAUACUGGCAGUCUUGAGUACAGUUGAGGUAGGCGGAAUUCGUGGUGUAGCGGUGAAAUGCUUAGAUAUCACGAAGAACUCCGAUUGCGAAGGCAGCUUACUAAACUGCCACUGACAUUGAUGCUCGAAAGUGUGGGUAUCGAACAGGAUUAGAUACCCUGGUAGUC
RNAcentral lists this ribosomal RNA (460 nucleotides) under uncultured bacterium. RNAcentral's name for it is "partial 16S ribosomal RNA". It matches the Rfam family "Bacterial small subunit ribosomal RNA", at positions 338 to 795 of the family's 1533-position model. The record is from RNAcentral.